Molecule: transfer RNA, 72 nt
Filed under: Epirixanthes elongata
Lineage: Eukaryota; Viridiplantae; Streptophyta; Magnoliopsida; Fabales; Polygalaceae
Description: tRNA-Gln
Rfam family: tRNA
About the family: Transfer RNA (tRNA) molecules are approximately 80 nucleotides in length. Their secondary structure includes four short double-helical elements and three loops (D, anti-codon, and T loops). Further hydrogen bonds mediate the characteristic L-shaped molecular structure. tRNAs have two regions of fundamental functional importance: the anti-codon, which is responsible for specific mRNA codon recognition, and the 3' end, to which the tRNAs corresponding amino acid is attached (by aminoacyl-tRNA synthetases). tRNAs cope with the degeneracy of the genetic code in two manners: having more than one tRNA (with a specific anti-codon) for a particular amino acid; and 'wobble' base-pairing, i.e. permitting non-standard base-pairing at the 3rd anti-codon position.
Source: RNAcentral
UGGGAUGUGGCCGAGUGGUAAGGCGCCGGGUUUUGGUUCCGCUAUUCGUAGGUUCGAAUCCUUCCGUCCCAG